This 252-nucleotide ribosomal RNA is filed under the name uncultured bacterium. Its description in RNAcentral is "partial 16S ribosomal RNA". It matches the Rfam family "Bacterial small subunit ribosomal RNA", at positions 524 to 776 of the family's 1533-position model. The record is from RNAcentral.
UACGAGGGUGCGAGCGUUGUCCGGAAUCAUUGGGCGUAAAGGGCGCGUAGGUGGCGGGACAAGCGUGCGGUGAAAGCUCGGGGCUCAACCCCGAGUCGGCCGUGCGAACUGUUUUGCUUGAGCACUGUAGAGGCAGGCGGAAUUCCGGGUGUAGCGGUGGAAUGCGUAGAGAUCCGGAAGAACACCGGUGGCGAAGGCGGCCUGCUGGGCAGUAGCUGACACUGAGGCGCGACAGCGUGGGGAGCAAACAGG